This 634-nucleotide long non-coding RNA is filed under the name Gorilla gorilla gorilla (western lowland gorilla). Its description in RNAcentral is "lncRNA (ENSGGOG00000044697.1)". The record is from RNAcentral. Lineage: Eukaryota; Metazoa; Chordata; Mammalia; Primates; Hominidae.
GGCCUCUCUCCCACCACGGCCUCUCUCCCACUGCUCCGUGGGCGCCGGUGUUUUCUCCUCCCGGGCUGCAGCACCCCACGCCGCGCUCUUCACGAGCUCCCGUCAUGGAAACACCUCCGCGUCCCCCAGUUCACUCCCUGCUCACUCCUGAAACCUUUCCUCCCUGUAUCUCCCCAGGGAGCCCACGGGGUUUCCUUGGCUUCAGCGCCUGGUGGAGGCCUCAGCUCUUCAGCUGCCCAGGGCUGCUGUGCACCAGGCCGCCACGGCGCCCUGCUCACCAGAGAACAUACUGCCAUUAGGAGAGACCUCACCCCACUCAGGAGAAGCCACGAGCCGCUCACCAGAGGCCUCACCCCACUCACCAGAGACCUCAUCCAGUUCACCAGAGGCCAUCCGCACCCUUUCAAGAGAGGUCGCAGCUGCCAGCGUCCACGCUGAGGGUUGGUGUUUCUUCCCUCUCUCUAUCAGAGUUGCUUCACGGAAGGCCCAUCAUCUUCAGCUGAAAUGCCAUACUCAAAGAAGACUUUCCACAAGAGCAUGAAGAAACAUCUAAAAAAGAAUGGCAGCACUCAGACCGUGUGUUUCAAGGUCCACGCCAACACAGGUUAAUGAACCCUAGAAUUACAUAAUAAAA